Molecule: ribosomal RNA, 629 nt
Filed under: uncultured Campylobacterota bacterium
Lineage: Bacteria; Pseudomonadati; Campylobacterota
Description: bacterial SSU rRNA
Rfam family: Bacterial small subunit ribosomal RNA
Source: RNAcentral
AGAGUUUGAUUAUGGCUCAGAGUGAACGCUGGCGGCGUGCUUAACACAUGCAAGUCGAACGGUAACAGCAGAGCUUGCUCUGGCUGACGAGUGGCGCACGGGUGAGUAAUAUAUAGUUAAUGUGCCCCAAAGACUAGGAUAGCCACUGGAAACGGUGAUUAAUACUGGAUAAGCCUCUAUGACAUAAGUCAGCGAGGAAAACGUUUUUUCGCUUUGGGAUCAGACUAUAUCCUAUCAGGUAGUUGGUGAGGUAAGAGCUCACCAAGCCAAUGACGGGUAGCGGGUUUGAGAGGAUGAUCCGCCACACUGGUACUGAGACACGGACCAGACUCCUACGGGAGGCAGCAGUGAGGAAUAUUGCACAAUGGGGGGAACCCUGAUGCAGCAACGCCGCGUGGAGGAUGACGCAUUUCGGUGUGUAAACUCCUUUUAUAUGUCAAGAAAAUGACGGUAGCAUAUGAAUAAGCACCGGCUAACUCCGUGCCAGCGGCCGCGGUAAUACGGAGGGUGCAAGUGUUACUCGGAAUCACUGGGCGUAAAGGACGCGUAGGCGGGUUAUCAAGUCUGAUGUGAAAUCCUACAGCUUAACUGUAGAACUGCAUUGGAAACUGGUAACCUAGAGUAUGGGA